AGGACGAACGCUGGCGGCGUGCUUAACACAUGCAAGUGGAGCGACGAACCAGGCUUCGGCCUGGGGCAGAGCCGCGAACGGGUGAGUAACACGUGGGUAACCUGCCUCGAUGACCGGGACAACCCGAGGAAACCCGGGCUAAUACCGGAUGUGCUCCUUCACAUCAGUGAAGACAGGAAAGGAAGCUUCGGCCUCCGCAUCGAGAUGGGCCCGCGGCCCAUUAGCUUGUUGGUGAGGUAACGGCUCACCAAGGCUGCGAGUGGGUAGCUGGUCUGAGAGGACGAUCACGCCACGACUGGGACUGAGACACCGGCCAGACUCCGUACGGGAGGCAGCGAGUGGGGAAUCGUUGCG
Molecule: ribosomal RNA, 354 nt
Filed under: uncultured soil bacterium
Lineage: Bacteria
Description: bacterial SSU rRNA
Rfam family: Bacterial small subunit ribosomal RNA
Source: RNAcentral